GAUGAACGCUGGCGGCGUGCUUAACACAUGCAAGUCGAACGGGAAUUACUUUAUUGAAACUUCGGUCGAUCUAAUUUAAUUCUAGUGGCGGACGGGUGAGUAACGCGUGGGUAACCUGCCUUGUACAGGGGGAUAACAGUCAGAAAUGACUGCUAAUACCGCAUAAGCGCACAGAGCUGCAUGGCUCGGUGUAAAAAACUCCGGUGGUAUAAGAUGGACCCGCGUUGGAUUAGCUAGUUGGUGAGGUAACGGCCCACCAAGGCGACGAUCCAUAGCCGGCCUGGGAGGGGGAACGGCCACAUUGGGACUGAGACACGGCCCAGACUCCUACGGGAGGCAGCAGUGGGGAAUAUUGCACAAUGGGGGAAACCUUGAUGCAGCGACGCCGCGUGAAGGAAGAAGUAUCUCGGUAUGUAAACUUCUAUCAGCAGGGAAGAGAUUGACGGUACCUGACUAAGAAGCCCCGGCUAACUACGUGCCAGCCGCCGCAGUAA
This 494-nucleotide ribosomal RNA is filed under the name uncultured bacterium. RNAcentral's name for it is "partial 16S ribosomal RNA". It matches the Rfam family "Bacterial small subunit ribosomal RNA", at positions 28 to 523 of the family's 1533-position model. The record is from RNAcentral.